AAAGGCACAAACGACUGAGUUGCCGAAGGUUCGCCCAACUUCAGAGUCUUCUUCUUAUUUGACUUCUCAGAGGGUUCUCUCUUCCUCUUCAUGAAAUUUGGUGGCUGUUCUGGUAUCCAAUCCACAAAGAACUCUGAAAUGUCAAUACCUUGAGACGUCAGAUCUUGAAGGUAACGAAUAGUAACCUCUGGGGGAUCUAUCUUGG
Molecule: long non-coding RNA, 205 nt
Filed under: Lathyrus oleraceus (garden pea)
Lineage: Eukaryota; Viridiplantae; Streptophyta; Magnoliopsida; Fabales; Fabaceae
Description: Pisum sativum (pea) long non-coding RNA (PSAT_LNC021218)
Source: RNAcentral